Molecule: long non-coding RNA, 690 nt
Organism: Asparagus officinalis (garden asparagus)
Lineage: Eukaryota; Viridiplantae; Streptophyta; Magnoliopsida; Asparagales; Asparagaceae
Exons: 5
Source: RefSeq, a predicted model, not a curated record
GACAAUUUGCGGCAGCCAGUGAAGAGCUUUCUGUGGAGCAAAACCCUUUGGAAGUUGAUGGGGAUUGUAUUGGAUCUCGCUGUUGAAGUUGGGCAGUACCUUUCGUUGCCGGUCUUGGCUUUGUCGCAGCUGAGCGAGAUGUCUUAUUGUGCCCUUGAGAGGAAACUGGUCCUUGUUCCGAUUCCUUUUCUUGUUGCCUUUGCUGUUGCUGGAGUGAUGAAGGAUACUGCAGCUGAAGCCUCUUCAGGUCUUAAGGUGGUAAUUCACAUAGCAAAUGGAUAAUUGCAGCCUCUCCAUCAUGCGGCAAGAGGAGAACAUUUGAAUGUUGUGCAUUAGCUUCUUUCAGCUGGGGCUUCACCUAAGACAACAAACGUUUAUGGAAUGGUUAGCACUUUUGUUAAAUUUAGUGUAUCUCAGGAAUUAUGAUGUAUGACCUCGUUUCUGCUGUCUCAGUGUCAUGUUUCGAAGCGAAACUAGUUAUUGAUCCGAUGGCAGAAGAGGAAGCUUGCCAAUAUGGAAUCCGUCAUCAUGAGAUCAUCAUGUCUAAAGGAAUCAGUCUCUUCAUAAAAGCAAAUUUUUGUAGUACCUGCUUGUUAAUAACGAGAGAGAACCAUAUUUUUUGUUGUUACUCACUUUGUAACUCAAUGUUUUUGCUGUGUUGUAAAAUGAUGGAUACAUUUUGUGAACAUA